Molecule: ribosomal RNA, 550 nt
Filed under: uncultured archaeon
Lineage: Archaea
Description: bacterial SSU rRNA
Rfam family: Archaeal small subunit ribosomal RNA
Source: RNAcentral
ACGGGGUGCAGCAGGCGCGAAAACUUCACAAUGGGGGCAACCCCGAUGAGGGAAUUCCUAGUGCUAGCACAUUUGUGGUAGCUUUUCUUUAGCUUAGAAAACUAGAGGAAUAAGGGCUGGGUAAGACGGGUGCCAGCCGCCGCGGUAAUACCUGCAGCCCAAGUGGUGGUCGAUUUUAUUGAGUCUAAAACGUUCGUAGCCGGUUCGGUAAAUCUUUGGGUAAAUCGGGGGGCUUAACCUCCCGACUUCCGAGGAGACUGCCGAACUUGGGACCGGGAGAGGCUAGAGGUACUUCUGGGGUAGGGGUAAAAUCCUGUAAUCCUAGAAGGACCACCGGUGGCGAAGGCGUCUAGCUAGAACGGAUCCGACGGUGAGGGACGAAGCCCUGGGUCGCAAACGGGAUUAGAUACCCCGGUAGUCCAGGGUGUAAACGCUGCAGACUUGGUGUUGGAGGCCCUUUGGGGGCAUUCAGUGCUGGAGAGAAGUUGUUAAGUCUGCUACUUGGGGAGUACGUCCGCAAGGAUGAAACUUAAAGGAAUUGGCGGGGGAG